RNAcentral lists this ribosomal RNA (304 nucleotides) under uncultured bacterium. Its description in RNAcentral is "bacterial SSU rRNA". It matches the Rfam family "Bacterial small subunit ribosomal RNA", at positions 466 to 769 of the family's 1533-position model. The record is from RNAcentral.
AUAGUGACGGUAUCUAAGGAGCAAGCCACGGUUAACUACGUGCCAGCAGCCGCGGUAAUACGUAGGGGGCAAGCGUUAUCCGGAUUUACUGGGUGUAAAGGGACCGUAGACGGAGCUGCAAGUCUGAUGUGAAAGCCCGGGGCUCAACCCCGGGACUGCAUUGGAAACUGUAGAUCUAGAGUGCCGGAGAGGUAAGCGGAAUUCCUAGUGUAGCGGUGAAAUGCGUAGAUAUUAGGAGGAACACCAGUGGCGAAGGCGGCUUACUGGACGGUGACUGACGUUGAGGCUCGAAAGCGUGGGGAGC